RNAcentral lists this transfer RNA (75 nucleotides) under Elaphrothrips spiniceps. Its description in RNAcentral is "tRNA-Asn". Lineage: Eukaryota; Metazoa; Arthropoda; Insecta; Thysanoptera; Phlaeothripidae. The record is from RNAcentral.
UUAAUUAAAGCUAAAUUUUGAAGCAUAUUAUUGUUAAUAGUAAAAUAGAGAAAAUUUUUUAUUUCUUUAAUUAAU